RNAcentral lists this ribosomal RNA (404 nucleotides) under Actinomycetes bacterium. Its description in RNAcentral is "Actinobacteria bacterium partial 16S ribosomal RNA". It matches the Rfam family "Bacterial small subunit ribosomal RNA", at positions 355 to 776 of the family's 1533-position model. Lineage: Bacteria; Bacillati; Actinomycetota; Actinomycetes. The record is from RNAcentral.
UGGGGAAUAUUGGACAAUGGGCGCAAGCCUGAUCCAGCCAUGCCGCGUGAGUGAUGAAGGCCCUAGGGUUGUAAAGCCCUUUCACCGGUGAAGAUAAUGACGGUAACCGGAGAAGAAGCCCCGGCUAACUUCGUGCCAGCAGCCGCGGUAAUACGAAGGGGGCUAGCGUUGUUCGGAUUUACUGGGCGUAAAGCGCACGUAGGCGGACUUUUAAGUCAGGGGUGAAAUCCCGGGGCUCAACCCCGGAACUGCCUUUGAUACUGGAAGUCUUGAGUAUGGUAGAGGUGAGGGGAAUUCCGAGUGUAGAGGUGAAACUCGUAGAUAUUCGGGGGAACACCAGUGGCGAAGGCGGCUCACUGGACCAUUACUGACGCUGAGGUGCGAAAGCGUGGGGAGCAAACAGG